Molecule: non-coding RNA, 1057 nt
Organism: Camelina sativa (false flax)
Lineage: Eukaryota; Viridiplantae; Streptophyta; Magnoliopsida; Brassicales; Brassicaceae
Source: RefSeq, a predicted model, not a curated record
AAUUGUAAUGGACUGUCUUAUCGUUUAAUAGAGCCAUCACCAUUCAUUUCCAACUCGCCCCGGAACUAUCCCCGACUGGAUCUGUUCCUCUCUUCGCCCUUCCAGUGUCCUCUCUCUCGCCGAACUAUCACUGUUGAAUUUGUGUUGGUUUCGGUGAGUUGGGUAUAUAUUCCAGUUUGAUGAAGCUUAAAUCAUCAGAAAUAGGAAAAUCUUUAUGGUUACACUUUCGAUUGUUGUUUGAUGGCUAGCUAAUUUUCUCACUAAUCAAUGUCUUGUGGAAAGUUUUAUGAAAGAAUCAGAUUAUUUUCUUUGCCGUUAAAGUCCAUGUGCUUCUCUCUAUGUAGUUAGUUCAUAUAUCAAUGGAUAAUUGGUUGUUUUUCUUGUUUCUGGAUCCAGAUAUGAGAUUACUCUUAGAGGUAAGUGUGUCAUUCUACUUUUUUUCUCGGCUUUGAGAGUUCAUCAGAUGUAUGUGUCUGUCUUACAAUGUUAAUCCCUUGCCUUCUUAUUGUGCUAUUUUAUUUCUUUUUAAUUGCCUAGUGCUGUUCACGGCAUUGCUUCUCCUCCAGUAUGAGUGUCUCCGGUGCUGCAGUUGGUUCAGGAAUCAUUGAAUAGACCGCGCUGUAAAGCCAUCCACUUAAUUGAGAUUGAUACAAGUGUUGAUUGUGAUACAUUUAUUCCCCUUGUUGACACUUCUGCAUAUCAACCUUGGUGUCUUAAAAAACGAUAGGACAGGGACUGGCACAUUAUCUAAAUUCGGCUCUGAGGAAUUUUCCACUUCUGACGACUAAGGUGCUUCUAUAUGGAGGACAAGUGGUUUCUUGGAGAAAUUAAAGGAGAGAGCAGUUGCUUUAUAUGAGCACCAAGGCGCAACUAAAACCACCCAAGGCCAUCAGGAGAGGUUUACCUGUCUGCUUUCCACAACUAUGUUUCAAAAGCACAAAUCUAGCUGAGAUUCAAGACUGCUGCAGGGAAGGAUAGCGUGUUCAUCUACUUUUUUUUAUUAUUAUGUUUUUUUAGGAGUAUCACUACAGUUUUUAAGAGUAUUCUUAUUUUUUCA